UAGCUUAUGCAUUGUUCUACGGUUUGGCGUGGGCAUCUUGGGUGGCAUAUUUGAGUGCCUCUUUCGGAGCCAUUUAUGUCCUUGUGACACCUUCUACCUAUGCUAUAGUUUCCAAAGCAUCAAGCUCAGCAGAUCAGGGAAAAGCACAAGGAUUUGUUGCUGGUGUGCAAUCAGUAGCAAGUUUGUUAUCCCCUCUGGCAAUGAGUCCAUUAACUUCAUGGUUUCUAUCUAGCAAUGCCCCAUUCAACUGCAAAGGUUUCAGCAUCAUAAUUGCAUCACUAUGCAUGAUGGUUGCUUUAUGCAUUGCUUGCCUGCUUAAACUGGAGCAACAUUCAACGCGGGCGGAAGACACUGAAACAACACAUUUUAUCUGAAAAUUAAUUUUCUACGCGAUCGAUUAGUUUUCUGAGACGG
RNAcentral lists this unclassified non-coding RNA (414 nucleotides) under Hevea brasiliensis (rubber tree). Lineage: Eukaryota; Viridiplantae; Streptophyta; Magnoliopsida; Malpighiales; Euphorbiaceae. The record is from RNAcentral.